This 376-nucleotide ribosomal RNA is filed under the name uncultured bacterium. RNAcentral describes it as "bacterial SSU rRNA". It matches the Rfam family "Bacterial small subunit ribosomal RNA", at positions 524 to 898 of the family's 1533-position model. The record is from RNAcentral.
GACGAAGGUGGCAAGCGUUGUUCGGAAUCACUGGGCAUAAAGCGUGCGUAGGCGGCCAAAUCAGUCGGGUGUGAAAUCCCUCGGCUCAACCGAGGAACUGCGCCCGAUACUGUUUGGCUUGAGGUCCGGAGGGGAGAGUGGAAUUCCCGGUGGAGCGGUGAAAUGCGUAGAGAUCGGGAAGAACGCCGGCGGCGAAAGCGACUCUCUGGUCGGAUCCUGACGCUGAGGCACGAAAGCUAGGGGAGCAAACGGGAUUAGAUACCCCGGUAGUCCUAGCCAUAAACGAUGGGCACUAGGUAGUGGCCGUUCCUAUGCGGUCACUGCUGGAGCAAAUGUCUUAAGUGCCCCGCCUGGGAAGUACGGUCGCAAGACUAAA